Molecule: ribosomal RNA, 34 nt
Filed under: Fusarium verticillioides
Lineage: Eukaryota; Fungi; Ascomycota; Sordariomycetes; Hypocreales; Nectriaceae
Description: partial 28S ribosomal RNA
Source: RNAcentral
AACUUCUGAAUGUUGACCUCGGAUCAGGUAGGAA